This 291-nucleotide ribosomal RNA is filed under the name uncultured bacterium. Its description in RNAcentral is "partial 16S ribosomal RNA". It matches the Rfam family "Bacterial small subunit ribosomal RNA", at positions 505 to 796 of the family's 1533-position model. The record is from RNAcentral.
GUGCCAGCCGCCGCGGUACUACGGAGGGUGCAAGCGUUGUCCGGAAUCACUGGGCGUAAAGGGUGCGCAGGCGGGGCAGCAAGUCGGAGGUGAUAGCCCGUGGCUCAACCACGGAAGUGCCUUCGAAACUGUUGCUCUUGAGUCCCGGAGAGGUUGCCGGAAUUCGUGGUGUUGCGGUGAAAUGCGUAGAUAUCACGAGGAACACCAGAGGCGAAAGCGGGCAACUGGACGGGGACUGACGCUCAGGCACGAAAGCGCGGGGAGCAAACAGGAUGAGAACCCCAGUAGUCC